This 880-nucleotide ribosomal RNA is filed under the name Methanomethylovorans sp. enrichment culture clone AM13. Its description in RNAcentral is "bacterial SSU rRNA". It matches the Rfam family "Archaeal small subunit ribosomal RNA", at positions 1 to 884 of the family's 1478-position model. The record is from RNAcentral. Lineage: Archaea; Methanobacteriati; Methanobacteriota; Methanomicrobia; Methanosarcinales; Methanosarcinaceae.
UUCCGGUUGAUCCUGCCGGAGGUCACUGCUAUCGGUGUUCGACUAAGCCAUGCGAGUCAAAUGUUCUUCGUGAACAUGGCGUACUGCUCAGUAACACGUGGAUAACCUGCCCUUAGGUCUGGCAUAACCCCGGGAAACUGGGGAUAAUUCCGGAUAGAUCAUGGAUGCUGGAAUGCACCGUGGUCGAAAGCUUUUGUGCCUAAGGAUGGGUCUGCGGUCUAUCAGGUUGUAGUGGGUGUAACGUACCUGCUAGCCUACGACGGAUACGGGUUGUGGGAGCAAGAGCCCGGAGAUGGAUUCUGAGACAUGAAUCCAGGCCCUACGGGGCGCAGCAGGCGCGAAAACUUUACAAUGCGGGAAACCGCGAUAAGGGGACACCGAGUGCCAGCAUCCUAUGUUGGCUGUCCAUAUGUAUAAAUAACAUGUGUUAGCAAGGGCCGGGCAAGACCGGUGCCAGCCGCCGCGGUAACACCGGCGGCCCGAGUGGUGGCCACUAUUAUUGGGUCUAAAGGGUCCGUAGCCGGUUUGGUCAGUCCUCCGGGAAAUCUGACGGCUUAACCGUUAGGCUUUCGGGGGAUACUGCCAGGCUUGGGACCGGGAGAGGUAAGAGGUACUACGGGGGUAGGAGUGAAAUCUUGUAAUCCCUGUGGGACCACCUGUGGCGAAGGCGUCUUACCAGAACGGGUCCGACGGUGAGGGACGAAAGCUGGGGGCACGAACCGGAUUAGAUACCCGGGUAGUCCCAGCCGUAAACUAUGCUCGCUAGGUGUCAGGGACGGUGCGACCGUUUCUGGUGCCGUAGGGAAGCCGUGAAGCGAGCCACCUGGGAAGUACGGUCGCAAGGCUGAAACUUAAAGGAAUUGGCGGGGGAGCACUACAA